Molecule: ribosomal RNA, 248 nt
Filed under: uncultured Aphelidea
Lineage: Eukaryota; Fungi; Aphelidiomycota; Aphelidea
Description: partial small subunit ribosomal RNA
Rfam family: Eukaryotic small subunit ribosomal RNA
Source: RNAcentral
AGCUCCAAUAGCGUAUAUUAAAGUUGUUGCAGUUAAAAAGCUCGUAGUUGAAUUUUGGGCUUUGCUUGUUGGUCCACCUAACGGUGAGUACUAGCAAGCUGGGCUCCACUUUUUGGGUACUUUGUUUGCCUUUAACUGGGUGGGUAAAUGGUCCAAGACUUUUACUUUGAAAAAAUUAGAGUGUUCAAAGCAGGCUUACGCUUGAAUACAUUAGCAUGGAAUAAUGGAAUAGGACUUUGGUUCUAUUU